GACAGUGUGGUGUAGUGGUUAGAGUGCCAGACUAGGACCUGGGAGACCAGGGUUCAAAUCCCUGCUCACUUGGUGACCU
Molecule: non-coding RNA, 79 nt
Organism: Podarcis lilfordi (Lilford's wall lizard)
Lineage: Eukaryota; Metazoa; Chordata; Lepidosauria; Squamata; Lacertidae
Source: the annotation of a GenBank genome assembly